RNAcentral lists this ribosomal RNA (428 nucleotides) under Nipponaphis distychii. Its description in RNAcentral is "partial small subunit ribosomal RNA". The record is from RNAcentral. Lineage: Eukaryota; Metazoa; Arthropoda; Insecta; Hemiptera; Hormaphididae.
UUAUAAAAAUUUAAAAUUAAUUACUUAAAAAUUAAUAGUUAAGUUCUUUAAAUUUAAAAAAUUUGGCGGUAUUUUAGUCUUAUUAGAGGAACCUGUAUCUUUAUUGAUAAUCCACGAUUAAUUUUACUUAUUUUGAAAAUUCAUAUAUCGCUGUCAUGAAUAUAUUAAAAAAUUAAUUUUCUUUAAUUAUUUUGCUAAUUUAUGUUAAGUCAAGAUGUGGUUUAUAAAUAAGUUGAUUAUGGGUUACAAUAAAUUAUAUUUUUGGAUUUUAAAUGAAAAAUAAUUGAUGAAAUUGGAUUUAAUAGUAAUUUUAAUUAUUUAAUUAAUAUGAAUAUAGAUCUAGAAUAUGUACAUAUUGCCCGUCAUUCUUAUUAAAAAUAAGACAAGUCGUAACAAAGUAAGUGUACUGGAAAGUGUACUUAGAAAGA